AUUGAACGCUGGCGGCAUGCCUUACACAUGCAAGUCGAACGGCAGCACGGGUGCUUGCACCUGGUGGCGAGUGGCGAACGGGUGAGUAAUACAUCGGAACAUGUCCUGUAGUGGGGGAUAGCCCGGCGAAAGCCGGAUUAAUACCGCAUACGAUCUACGGAUGAAAGCGGGGGACCUUCGGGCCUCGCGCUAUAGGGUUGGCCGAUGGCUGAUUAGCUAGUUGGUGGGGUAAAGGCCUACCAAGGCGACGAUCAGUAGCUGGUCUGAGAGGACGACCAGCCACACGGGGACUGAGACACGGCCCAGACUCCUACGGGAGGCAGCAGUGGGGAAUUUUGGACAAUGGGCGAAAGCCUGAUCCAGCAAUGCCGCGUGUGUGAAGAAGGCCUUCGGGUUGUAAAGCACUUUUGUCCGGAAAGAAAUCCUUGGCCCUAAUACGGUCGGGGGAUGACGGUACCGGAAGAAUAAGCACCGGCUAACUACGUG
Molecule: ribosomal RNA, 486 nt
Filed under: uncultured bacterium
Lineage: Bacteria
Description: partial 16S ribosomal RNA
Rfam family: Bacterial small subunit ribosomal RNA
Source: RNAcentral